GCAGCCUCGUUCCACAUCCCCAGCUGCUGCAGAUAAGAAAAUCUCUUCUUUUAUGGGGGAAAAGCUUCUAAUUGUCCAAAUCAAGCAUUGUAGACGUUGCUUAAAACUAUGCAUUUCAACAAUUUCUAAAUGUCAUGGAUUAUUGGAGACAUUUAAAGACAAUGGAAAAGACCUCCUGAAGAAACCUGUGAAAGAAGUCAACAAGAAGAGGGGCAGCACGGUGGCACAGCGGUAGACUUGCUGUCUUACAGCGCCAGAGACCCGGGAUCGAUCCUGACAACGGGUGCUGUCUGUAUG
Amblyraja radiata (thorny skate) is the source of this 297-nucleotide long non-coding RNA. RefSeq lists it as uncharacterized. The record is from RefSeq and is a predicted model, not a curated record. Lineage: Eukaryota; Metazoa; Chordata; Chondrichthyes; Rajiformes; Rajidae. The transcript has 3 exons.